UUACAAAGUGACCCCAAAAGUUUUGCAAUAUAGCCCAAAAGUUGAGGUUAAUUGCUUUAUGGCCCAAAAAGUUGUGGUUAUUGCAUAUUGGCCCAAAUUAAGUAGAGAACAAAAUUGUUUUGUCUCUUUAAAUGAGAAUUGGAUUUUCAUUUUGUUUAGCUCCAUUUAAAUCAAUUUUAUGGAUACAAAGACCAAAUGAAAAUGUUGCAUUCUAUUUAAUUGGUUAAAGCGUUAAUUGAUUAAAGAAAGGGUGAUUAUGAACCUAAGCCUAAUAUAAUUGAGCUAUGUGAAAGGCCGUUUCAAAUUUUUUUGAACCAUGGGAAUGUGUAGAUUAGAUUUUGGUUGUAAUUUGAUUUGAUCAAAUGUUGUAAAAGGGCAUAAGCCCUUCUUUACUUUAAGGUAAUUUGUUUUAUGCAAAUGUUGUAAUGAGCAUAAGCUCACCUUUACUUUGAAGUACUUCUUUCUUGCUUUAUAUGAUAUGCAUGAAAAUGAAGUAGUUGGGUCCGACGCCCCUAAGACAACACGCCUUAAUAUGAUUAAACGCGUAACUAAAAUCAAUCUCCAUCCCUAGACCGAGAUUCAACACAAGGCUCGUGUUGAAUCUAUACAAAGGUUCAUAGCAACUAUAUAGUCCAUCAAAUGAAUGCAAAGGUUAUGUUAGUAGUAUCAUAUACUCUUGCUUUAAAAACGUUUUAUAAGCAUAGUGGGAGUAUUAUAUACAACUAAAAACAAUCAUAUGGACCAAUAGUUGUAAUAGGACCAAAAUUGUUUUAAUAGAGAUUAAAAUGAAUGUUUAUAUGUGAUGAGACCUAAAACCCUCAACCAAACCAUUAUUAAGUUGAUAAGCGUGAGAGUGCUUUGAACACUCUUUCGUGGCCUUCCACCGUGGUAGGCUCCAAUCGUAUGUGACUCGUACACCGGCUUCACCCUAUAAUGGGGGAGUACAAAGUGCGUGCUUACACUCAGGAGGAGUUCUAUAUACAUACAUGAUGAAGUGAGGUAGGCAACGAGUUUAGCCAACAUGAUAUAAUUCUGAGGCUAUGCUUGAACCCCUACACGAACUAGGCAUGGUGGGAAUGACUUAACUAAGUGCAAUGACGCCAACAUGAUAUAAUUCUGAGGCAUCAUUCUCUAGAGGCCAAAUUAGAUGGGUACUUGCAAGAGAUGCAAAUGAGUAAGCGUACUCUCUCAUUAUUAUUAACGCUAGCCAACAUGAUAUAAUUCUGAGGUGGGCUUGGUAAUAGUGAGCCUCCCAUAACCUACUAAGAGUUUCAUCCAAAACUCUCGAAUUCCAAUGAGGGAUAUGGAAUUUGCCUAAAAAUAGUGGGUGGUGCUAUUUUGAUUUAAAAACCCGAAUCAAAUGGCUUAAAAUCAAUCAAUUUAUAUUCGUUAUGUAUUUGUUUACCAAUAUAUUUGCAAACGCUAUCCAACACUUGACAAAUAAAAGCCGAAAGCUUUAGUUUCCGGACUUGGUACUACAAAACCAUAGAUUGUCUUCAAUGGCUUGUAAAUGUACCUAAGUAGUCUCUUCCUCACAAUCUUCCUAUUGAUAAUGUAUCAUUAGAAGAAUAUGUUAGAAAAAGUCUAUCAUAAAGAGGACAACACUUUUAAUGUCAUAAUUCUUCAAAUACAAUUUGUUGUAUGAAGAAAUAGGAGUUGCUUUGAACAACUCUUAGUCAAUGCAAACACUUAGUGCUUGUUUCUUUGUUAUAUGAACAAAGAACUUGAGAAGAAAGCACAAAGGCAUGGACACUUAAUGUGCCAUGAUUCUUCACUUACAAAUUGUUGUAUGAAGAAAUGAGAGUUGCCUUGAACAACUCUUGAAAGUUUGUAAUUAUGUUUAGAACAUAAUGGUUGGUUGACAAAAAUAGUCCAUCAACAUGGACUUAUGAUGAUUUUGAAUCAUUGAGUGUUGAAGUGAUAAAUCACUUAACGAGACGGAAACUAGGCAAGGACUUCACCUAUGUGCCCUAUCCUUAAUGGUUCACUAAGUUUAUUGUAAACUAUGUAGUGAACAAUAACCACAUGCUCUCCAAAUUGUUUGAUGUGUAUAACACAAUUGAAAUAAGUUUCAAGAGAGAUAGUGGGAGUUUAGGGACC
This 2100-nucleotide long non-coding RNA is filed under the name Malus domestica (apple). RNAcentral describes it as "long non-coding RNA (MDOM_LNC007493)". The record is from RNAcentral. Lineage: Eukaryota; Viridiplantae; Streptophyta; Magnoliopsida; Rosales; Rosaceae.